RNAcentral lists this ribosomal RNA (492 nucleotides) under uncultured bacterium. RNAcentral's name for it is "partial 16S ribosomal RNA". It matches the Rfam family "Bacterial small subunit ribosomal RNA", at positions 29 to 507 of the family's 1533-position model. The record is from RNAcentral.
AGUGAACGCUGGCGGUAGGCCUAACACAUGCAAGUCGAACGGCAGCACAGUAAGAGCUUGCUCUUACGGGUGGCGAGUGGCGGACGGGUGAGGAAUACAUCGGAACCUACUUUUUCGUGGGGGAUAACGUAGGGAAACUUACGCUAAUACCGCAUACGACCUACGGGUGAAAGCAGGGGAUCUUCGGACCUUGCGCGAUUGAAUGAGCCGAUGUCGGAUUAGCUAGUUGGCGGGGUAAAGGCCCACCAAGGCGACGAUCCGUAGCUGGUCUGAGAGGAUGAUCAGCCACACUGGAACUGAGACACGGCCCAGACUCCUACGGGAGGCAGCAGUGGGGAAUAUUGGACAAUGGGCGCAAGCCUGAUCCAGCCAUACCGCGUGGGUUAAGAAGGCCUUCGGGUUGUAAAGCCCUUUUGUUGGGAAAGAAAAGCAGCAGGUUAAUACCCCGCUGUUCUGACGGUACCCAAAGAAUAAGCACCGGCUAACUUCGUG